CCGGUGCUCCCACGGGCACAUACUGACCGCGUGUGUCUGGGCGCAGUGGCAGCCAUGGUGGCAUUAUCUGUGCCAUGGACCACGCCACCCAGAGACCUGGCAGCCCCACCUCAGUACAUACUCCAGAGGGGAGUCCCCAGGUGCCCCCAAGACGAUCACAAAGCUGACUGAAGCGGCUGUCCUGGGAACAAUGAGCAGAAAGAGCCAGUGGCCUCGGACAAGGGGCUGGGUGAGGAAACCAAGGCACAGAGGAGAGAAGCCACUUUCCCCAGGUUCCUGUGGCCAGGAAGCCCAGACUCAGGAUUGGAGCUCAUUUCUCCCUCCCCGGAGCUGGGAGGCUCUGGGGAAGGCAGGUCUGGGGUCUGUAGCAGAGAUCUGCGUGGCCCUGGGAGGGCGGUAGUGCUGGGGACACAAGGAGAGGAGCUCCAGGAGAAGGACUGGCCUCAGACUUCCCCAGGCGCAUUCUUGUCUAGACUGGUCACAGAGAAGUCAUAACUUGGGACAGAUGUGACACAUGGCAGAAGAAGGGAGGUCUAACAGCGUGCUCUUGUCCCUGGCUCCUCGUGAGCUGUGGCUGAGAUGGCUUCUGGGCUGGGAGAACCAGACUGGGCAGCAUCCCAGCCGGGCAGUACCCAAGAUAAGACCUUGCAUGGUCACCUCCGUGUCCUCAUUGUCAGGGGGGGAUAAUGAUCUCCCAGGCUUUGUGGUGGGCCUCAGAGAAGUGAUAUAUACAAAACUCUAGGCAUUUUAGGAUAUAUGAGAUUGCAAUAGCUACUCAAGCAAUGUUCAUUAAAUAUGUUAAAUCCAACCAAAUCCAUCAAAAAAAAAAAAAACUGAAUACUAAGUGUUCUGCUUGCCCUACUUGAGCAUCUCUGGGGGGGCACCUGAGCAGAGGGAGGGGGGCACUGUCCCCGAGUGCUGGCACAGGAGCUUGCUGACACCCUGAAGAAUGAGACAAACCCAGGCUUGUCUUGCUUUUCAGUUACUGUUAUUAAAAACCACGAAUUCACCCGAUUCUUCCAAAUCCACCCCCGCCCUGCCAGCCCAGCCCUGAACCCAUCCCAGCGAAGGCCCAGCUACAGAGAGUGGUGCCCAGCUCUGCCUCCAACCAGCCUUUGCAAGCCCUGCUCGGUGAUCUCAGCUGCUGCACAGGAAGGGAAACAUCUGCAGUCACCGCUGGCCUGGGCUGAGGGGGGUCAGUUUCACAGGAGAGAACAGCAGCCCCCUCCUUUGCUUCCUCAGACCCCUCUGUUCUCCAAAACAGAGGUCAAGUUCACCAGAACCCUUUAGAGGAAACAGCAAAUCUUUCUGCAGAGCCCACCCUCCAGGCCACUGUGCAGGCAGGACCUUCUCUUAGAGCUCAGGCCAGCAGGCCUCGGCGGGGAGUCACCAUGGCCAUCUCCAGCCAGAGCCGGUGUCCAGGCUCUGUCCUGCUCUGGGUUCCCAGGGAUGAGGCAGGCACAAGCCCCUCUUCCCUCGCCAAGCCCUGUGCACCCACCCAGGCCCAGAACCAGGGAGAGGCCCUGCUGUUUCCUGAGCCUGGUGCUCCCCACCAGCCCGGAGAGCAGCGUGGACAGAACUACCCCACAGCCCCCCUCUUCUACUUGCCAGCCGUGACACUGGGACAAGCCACUCCACGUGCUUGAACUCAGCUUCAGUCAGAUGGGAUCCCAACAGUGCUCAUGGCCCACGACUUCAGAGGGAAGGUUCAGUGAGAUGAGGCAGAAGGGGCCUGGCCAGGAAGUGCGCCACGGACGCCUGCGUCCUUACAUGAUUAACAUUAUUAACUUCUGGCUGUUGGUGCUGCUGCAGGUCUUUCCAUUGCCGUACGGGGUCUGGGCGCCCCGCAUCCCAGUGAGCUCACCGUGGCCCUGACCCUGCCUGGCCCUCCCUCCCGCUCUCAGCCUGGGCCUGUGUCGGCCCUGGCUCGGCCCUGCUGCCCCUGGUGCUGGAGGCCAAGCCCCAGGCCUGCCGGUGUGGCCAACCCCCUCCGGAGCCUCAGCCUGGGCCCUGAUCUACACCAAGGUCACCUGCCUCCGUGUUUGGGGAGAAUAGGUUUACCAUUAAGACUUCUCACUCCACUCACAAGCAGCCUGUUCCUUCCUGCCAGAAAGGUCAUUUCAUGGAAGAAAUCCCCAGAAGUGGAAUUACUGAUCAAAGGGCCCAAGGUCUCCCUGGUUGCUACCUAUUGGCUUAGCCCUACAGCCUGCUGGGUGUCCUGCCCCAGGCCCUGUCCACCCCACCUUCCCAACUGAGUCCAGUGCAGGCCUCACAACCAAGCCAUCAUUCACAUGCUGGUUCACUCCAUCUGUCCUAAUCUCCCCUGGCCAGGUCCGGGGCCAGGUGCUCGGGAUUCAUACAAGUCCUUCAGAAGCCCAUGACCUUGGGCUAACUCCUCUUCGUGAAAUUUCCUGGGACUGCCACACAGGGCCUCUGCCCCUCGUGGGCUUCUGCAGCUGCAGUCAACAAAUAGUUGGCGCAUCUUCUCGCUGUGGUGGAGACGCACACAGGCACCGUCCAGAGCGGCCUUGUUCUGUAGCCAGUGACACAAGGUCUCCUCCCUUCUCCCAUCCCAGAGACCACGGCUACUGGGAUUCCUGUCCUGGGAAUUUGGAAAGGCUGAGGUGUCAGGUGGACAGUGCUGAGCUUUGGAAGUUGGAGGCCCAGCUGAGGGACAACCUAAGGCACACACAGGACAAGGCCAUGGGACAAAGGAACAGCGCUGCUGGGGAAGUCAGCCUGCAGGGUGGAGAGCGAGACUGAGCACAGGGAGGGACAGGCCUGCAGGCACCACCCCGCAGAAAGGCCCAGAGAUGCCUCCCCUGCAGUGAAGUCCUGGGAGGCCCCUGGGGUCCGCCACAACCUCCUCUGGUGUGAACUGACUGAUCCAAAACCCUGGCCUGGGGCCUCCUCAUCAGCCGGAGUCCUCUGAUCCUCUCCGCCACCUCUACACCCAAACUGGCCUCCAGAGGGAAGCCCAACACCUGUCCACCAGGCCAGAUGCGAUGCUGCGUGUGUCACCCAGGCUGAGCCACGAAGUCCCCACCAGGCCACAGGGAAGCGCCACAACACUGCAACAGCUUCCUGUGUCACCUCUGCUUCUAGCAAGUGUCCUGUGGCCCAGGUCCCCUUGAUCUCAAAUCCCUGUUUCUCAAGUCUGUGGAGAGGGUUGGAUUUGCGCAGGUGGCAUGUCUGAGAACUGGGGGGGGCAUGGCGACAGGAAACUGCACCGGCUCUGCCACCGGCAGAGGACCAGGCUGCACGGCCAAGUGGCACCCCAGGACGGCUGAGCCUGGCACGGCCUGACUCUGCAGAGCCCCCAGGGCUGUGAGCGCCCCCAGGGCUGUGAGCGCCCCCACUGCCGGGCCUUGAGGCCAAGGGUAACGAGGAGACGCCACAGAGCAGCCUCACUUCAGAAGGAGCACGUGUCCUGCCUUCCCCGCUCCUGCCGCGUGGGAACAGGGAACACGGUGUCUCCAGGGAACACAUGGCUGAGGCUUAUGUAAGGGUCUUAAUCCAGGAAGAAGUUCCCAGGCUGAGCAAUUGCUCCGCCCACCUCAGAGCUGGAUGGCACCCUCUGGGAGAGCGUGUGGUCAUGCUCCGUCCUCCAGGAGAUGACCAUCCUGGGCUCAGAUGGCCAGGACUGCCUCUCUCAUCAGAUGACCAGGUCAGGCACUGCAGCAGCAGGGGUCCCAGGGCCUGCCAGGAGACCCCCCCCAGCUCAACUGAGCAUCCUGGGAGUUGCUCUAUGCAGGAUGAUGAUGGCCACCUAAAACCAGGACACCACGGUCCCCAGAAACAAAGACACCAACCAGUUCAAGGCCGCUGCCACCACAGGAGCAGACCCAGCCCCUCCAACCAGGGUCCCGCUCUCACUGUCCUUCGGCCAAGCCGGGGCACGGAGGGGUGUGGAGGCCCAAAGGCUGACUGGGCAGCCCUGGUCUUGUGGGGGAGGCUGGCCGGGAAUUCUAAAGCGGCCCAGACUGGGCAGAGCCUCUGUGAAGGUCAGGACGGAGGCCAGCAGCAGGCCUCUGAGUCCGACUACUUAAUCAGGACUCAAUCCAUUUCCUUCCUUCAGUCCAGGCUCCGAGGCCACCUUUCAAACUAAUGAGAAACCUUGUUUGGCGGCGGGCCGCUGCCGCCCUCCCCUGGUUUUUUAUUACCUCCCCCAAAGCCUCCUUCCCUGAAGAGGAACCGAGGGGCUGAGCUGUGCUCCCCGCUCUGCAGCCAAGCGCUUCAGCCCAGGUCUGCUCAGAGCCCUGGGGAGCCGAGGUUGCCCCAGGACUCUAGGGCCGAGACCGGGGGCUGCUCACACAAGUGAGCAGGGGCUGGCCAGGGGGGUUGGCACUUGUGCCUCAUCUCCUGCUGCUCCCUCCUGACCAUCAGGCGCCAAGUUCAAGGGAAAUAAAACCCCCACAAGUGGAUAGAUGACGUUUCUGAGGCUGCCCUCUGCCAGGGAAAGAUACCAAUAGCCCAGCGAGGCCUAGGCAAAGUGGGGCACCCGGGGGAAGAUGGGGAGGGACAGGCCCAGGGGCAGAGCCUCCUGGACAUCAAGCCAGGGCGGCCACAGCACAGUGGCCAAGGAGACAGAGACCAGAGCAGCUGCUGCAAGCUUGUCCCCAACUACUUAAUCAGGAUGAUGAUGAUUCUGGGCCAUUCUGUGGCCCACUCUCCCAGGGUCCCCCAUCCUCCAGGGAGGGCAGCCCCACCCCCACAGCCAGUGCCCAUGGGCUGGGCGCUGACUCAGAACCUGAGUCACAGGUGGCUUCCUCCGGCAGAAGCUUGCCCAGGCAAUUGUCCUCUGAUCACUCAGCAGGUGGACAGGCCCCAAGGGGCUGGCAUCUGCAGCCUGGGGGAAAGAAACUGCACGCUGAGCAGCCUGGUCAGUAGUUGAGGAAAGUUCAAGCUCCCACUCAGGUGGCUGUGAGCGGGUUCCACGGUGCAGCUCGCCCCCUGAGAGCCACAUGACUGGCCAGCUCUGGAGUGCGUCUCGGGCAUCCCACGAAAUGUCUUCCCAACAUGGGGAGGGGCAGCCCUCCCGGGGCCUCGAUACUUCCCUAAGUUGUUCAGCACAGGACGCAGAGCCCCCCAUCAUAAUUUGCUUUGGGGUUCUCCAAAGAAAUGGAAUUUGCUUCAGCGAUCCUAAGCAGAAAGCUGGGCUCUGGAACCUGCCCGCUUGGUGGCUACACCCCUGCCCCACCAGGGACCUGUGGCCUGGGGGCCCUGUCAAGCGGGCAUUGGAAUCUUUUGGUUCCUGCCACCACACACAGCCUAAGGACAGUCACUGGGCAGAGCUGGGGCCCUCUCCACAGAUGGCUUUCCUCUUCAGACCACUGUCACUCCCAGCUGGCCUGGCCCUCAGGCAGCCUGCAGAUGCUCCCUGCAGGUUGGGGCCACAGGCUGGGCCUCACCUGCCUCUGGACCAGGUGGCCCCGAGAGAAGGGGAUAAUUGUUCAGUCAGUGUGAUGCGGACUCCUGGUCUUGGGCUGAGUCCCACCCCACCUCCCACGUAGGCCUCCCACACCUGUCCGUCAGACUCCAUGAUUCAGGGGAGCAGGCCCCAGCUCCCCCAGCCGGGCCAGCUUCCAGCACCGGCAGGUUGACAGUCAGGAGCUCUCUCCUGGCAUCCGGCCCUGUUUCACCCCCCGAUUCCUCAUUACUCUCCUGGGCCACUCUUCACCAAGCUUCUCUCCUCUGCCUUCGUGCCCUUCAAAGGUUUGUAGCAGAACUCGUUUCUUGGCUGAAGGACGGGCCAUCAGUCUCCUUAAUCUGACUUCAUAAAUCGCCACCUGAGUACCCCCAGGUGCCCCCUGAACUCAUGAGCCCUCUGGCUACCUCUUGGGCAGUCCCAGGCCCCAGGUCCCUCCUGGAAGGGUGGGUGUGCCCCCAACACACCCAGCAUGUCCCCUGCCCCUCCCAAGGCCCCCAUGUGGAGGGGGCUCGGCAGCAGCGCCUGCAGGAGUCUCGCCAGGGGCCGCGCAGCUGCCUCUCCUGUCAGCGGGGCCUUCUCCUGGAACGGAUGUCUUAAGCUUGCUGGGAUCAAUUGUCCGUGGUGUCCCACUUAAUUCCCCUGCCAGGAGGCUGACAGCUUCAGCAGAGCAGGGUACAAGAAGGACUUUGUCAGGACGCUGAAUCAAUCCCUAAGGGACGUGGCCUUUGAGGCAGAGAGUGGAGGAGGGCAGGCUGGGGUCUGGAGAGGGUCUCCAGGACCCAUGAUCCCACCUUUAGAAAAAACCAGGGGAGCCCUGCUUACCCAGGACAAAGGGCGUAGCACAGCCCGAGUCCCGCACCCAGCCUGGACCCAGCCGGCACUCAAGCCCUCUCACUAAAAGGCCAGGUAAAGUUUCCACCAAAGCCCAGGAAAGGAAGGUGAGAGGAAGAGGACAUGCGCGUGCACCUAUGUGUGACUUCUUGUUGGGGAGAAGACCCCAAGAUCCUUUAAGAUUAUUGGAGUCAGCCCUUCCCUGCUGGAGCGGCUGCUCUGCUCUGGGCAGGAACUGGUGAAAUGCAGAGGGGAGGGGGACGCAGCCCUGGCCGGGAGGGCUGCCGGCUUCCUGGAGGAGGGCAGUCACCUCGCAGCCGAGGGCAGGGCCUGGCGUUGCCCUGCUGCAGCACUGACUCUCACGCUGUGGUCCAAGACCGGCCGCCGCCGCCCCCCGAAACUCGUUAGAAUGCAGAGUUUCAGGUGAAUCAGACGCUCUGGGCGGGGGGGAGCCCACCUGCAGGUGAUCCAGGUGAGAACCACUGGGCUGGGGCGUGGGAAGACCUGGCCGAGGGAACCCCAUCCUGGGAUUUCUCCCCUGCUGCAGAGUUCAGGGCCUGAUGGUGUUUUCAGGGCUCUGGGGGCAGAGCCUGAUGGUCCCGUAGGUGGGCCAAGUGUGUGUGAGGAGAGUCGGCAAAGCAGAAAGCAUUUCUGAAAGAACCCGUGAUUUAGGGUUUCCCUAAAUAGCAUUAAAGUAACCACCAAGGGGACACAGCACCCUGGAGGCUUGCUCUAUUUUGUCCCCAAUCAGACAUUAGUAUAAUUGCUGUAUAAAGUAAACGUGAGCUUAGAGCUUCCCGCACCUGGAGCCCUUUCCUUGCUCUCCUGGACUGGUCUCUUGGACCUUCCUUCCAGAAUCAUUUUCCUAUAGAAAUGGCCCCAGUGAGGGUCUCCAGUCCCUGAGCUCUGUCUGAAGAUGUCUUCAUCUUCUUGAAAGGUAGAGACCCUGGGUGGACAGUUACUGACUGUAUAUUUUCAUACCCGAUGCUGUGACACUUCUAAGCUUCUGGCCUCUGUUCUCACUGGAGACAUCUGCCUUCAGUCUAAUAUGCGUGCAUUUGUAGAAGAUUUGUCUCUUCUCUCUGGCUUCUUUUAAAACCUUCCUUUUCCUAUUCUACAUCACCAUGAUGGGUCCAAUUAUGGCUUAAGAAAAAAAACAAAAAUAAAGUUUCUUGUUUGUGCUGUCUGAACUGAAAUUCAUGUCUUCUAGCAAUUCUGAAAAUUUCUCAGCCAUCAUCUCUUUGAAUAAUGACUUUCACCCCAUGCUCUCUUCCAGCUUCAGGAACUCCAAGCGGAUUUGUGUUCUUUCUUCUCACGCCAACCUCCUCCUCUCUCUCACCUCCACUCCAUAUUUUUCCAUGUUUUUCUUCUGUCCUGUGUUAUACAUCCCAGGAAUAGCUUCAGCUUCAUCGCUCAGUCUGCCAAUUGCCCUCCAAACUGAAUCUCUGUCUGUCUAACACGUCCAUUGAAUUUCCCAUUUCAGUUCGUAUAUUUUUCAUUUCUAGGAGUUGUACUGGACUUUUUUUCCUAUCUCUCUGACCACUUUCAGAAUAUAUUUUUCUGUGUCUACAUUCUCAUUUUUAAAAUUUAACAAUUGUUUAACUUCUUUUUAUUUCUGAUCAUUCAGACAUCUGAAAUCAUUUGAUCCAGUUUUGUGUGUGAGGUUUCUGCAGAUGCUGACUCACCAUGGAUGACUGACUUCCUCCCAUACCCCGCCCCCCAGAAGAUCUGGCCACAGCCCAGCACAGCAGGUCUCUCUUCCUCCCAACCCAGUUCUUCCCUCAUGAGGCUCACGGUUGAAUCACAUUCCCAGUUUCCCAUGUAGCUGAAUGUGGCCAUGUGCCUGCAUCCAAUCCAAUAGGACCCAGUGGAAAUGGUAGGUACCAUUUCCAGAUCUGAACCAUACAACCCUCCUGCUCUUCCCCUUCCUCAGUGACCUUGAAAGCUUCAAGGUGGAGAUGGCAGAGCCAUAAGAAAGAUGCACCUGGGUCACUACUUAACAGAGAAUUGCCACCACAUCUGUUGUCACUCAAGCAGGAAAAACUGCCGGAACUCAAGGCUGUACCUGCCACAGCAGCCAGCACGCCUUAGCUACUUCCCAGGCCACUGUGUAGCCCGAAUUAACCUCUCAUUACAGUGAUACUAUGAAUUAGGUCUUUGCAGAACCUUUGCCAGGCUUAGCUAAGUCAAGGGUGUUUACCUGGGUCACAGAGCCCGAGGGACCCACUGUAAAAGGUCCCCUCCCUGCCAUGUGUCUCUUAGCUCUGGACCAGGUCCUAUUCUGGCCACUGAGAUUCCAGACAACGCUGACAGCUCUGGAGGAGUUCGCAGACAGGUCUGCAGAGACACGGCAGGCUGGAGGACCCAGCUAAGACCCUGACGCUCACACGCUCCUCUAACCUUCUCAGCAGCCUCAGGGGAAGUCACGGGCCCCUGCUGAUGAGACCAAGCGCAGGAACAGGCUCUGCUGGGACGCGACGGUGUGUCGGUGUGUCCUGUGUCCGCCUGGCUGGGCUGCGGCACGUGUUCAAACACUGGUCUAGAUGUUCUUAACCCUCAGCGAGUUGAUGGUCGGCAAAGGGACUGAGCUGGAUAACAUGGGGGCCCAUCCAUGGCUUGAAGGCCCCGUCUGCGAAGACUGGUGCUUUCCGGAGAAUCGGGAUCUUGCCUCAAGCCUGGGACAUGCAGUCCAGCCUGCCCCACCCUCGCCGCCCCGCCCGCCCACCUAAUACCCUCACUCCCUCCCUCUCUCUCUAAUGUUUCUAUAAAAUCAUUGUUGCUCAGUGAUAAGGAUACAUUCUGAUAAGGCUUCAUUUAGGCAAUUUUGUCUUGGUGCAAA
Molecule: long non-coding RNA, 9101 nt
Organism: Marmota monax (woodchuck)
Lineage: Eukaryota; Metazoa; Chordata; Mammalia; Rodentia; Sciuridae
Exons: 5
Source: RefSeq, a predicted model, not a curated record